This 467-nucleotide ribosomal RNA is filed under the name uncultured bacterium. Its description in RNAcentral is "partial 16S ribosomal RNA". It matches the Rfam family "Bacterial small subunit ribosomal RNA", at positions 28 to 506 of the family's 1533-position model. The record is from RNAcentral.
GACGAACGCUGGCGGCGUGCUUAACACAUGCAAGUCGAACGGAAAGGCCCUGCUUUUGUGGGGUGCUCGAGUGGCGAACGGGUGAGUAACACGUGAGUAACCUGCCCUUGACUUUGGGAUAACUUCAGGAAACUGGGGCUAAUACCGGAUAGGAGCUCCUGCUGCAUGGUGGGGGUUGGAAAGUUUCGGCGGUUGGGGAUGGACUCGCGGCUUAUCAGCUUGUUGGUGGGGUAGUGGCUUACCAAGGCUUUGACGGGUAGCCGGCCUGGGAGGGUGACCGGCCACAUUGGGACUGAGAUACGGCCCAGACUCCUCCGGGAGGCAGCAGUGGGGAAUAUUGCACAAUGGGCGGAAGCCUGAUGCAGCAACGCCGCGUGCGGGAUGACGGCCUUCGGGUUGUAAACCGCUUUCGCCUGUGACGAAGCGUGAGUGACGGUAAUGGGUAAAGAAGCACCGGCUAACUACGU